This 307-nucleotide long non-coding RNA is filed under the name Mytilus galloprovincialis (Mediterranean mussel). Lineage: Eukaryota; Metazoa; Mollusca; Bivalvia; Mytilida; Mytilidae. The record is from RNAcentral.
UGUUCAAAUUUCAUUUUUAUUAAAAGUAUUUCCUAAAUUGAUAAAAUUCAGUUGAUAGAUACAAAGAAUAGGUCUAGGUUGGUUAAGACUUGGUCGAGUAUGGUUCAGACUAGGUCGAGUAUGGUUCAGACUAGGUUGAGUACGGUUCAGACUAGGUCGAGAAUGGUUCAGACUAGGUCGAGCAUGGUUCAGACUCGUAUAAAAUGGUUAAGAACUGGUCAAGUACAAAUUCAGACUGAUAAGUAUGGUUCAGACUACAGUCGAGUAUUAUCAAGUAAAUUUCAGACCAAUUCAGACUGGUCUAGUA